RNAcentral lists this ribosomal RNA (687 nucleotides) under Salmonella enterica subsp. enterica serovar Mikawasima. RNAcentral describes it as "partial 23S ribosomal RNA". It matches the Rfam family "Bacterial large subunit ribosomal RNA", at positions 582 to 1269 of the family's 2925-position model. Lineage: Bacteria; Pseudomonadati; Pseudomonadota; Gammaproteobacteria; Enterobacterales; Enterobacteriaceae. The record is from RNAcentral.
CCCUUUGGGGUGUGACUGCGUACCUUUUGUAUAAUGGGUCAGCGACUUAUAUUCUGUAGCAAGGUUAACCGUAUAGGGGAGCCGGAGGGAAACCGAGUCUUAACCGGGCGUUAAGUUGCAGGGUAUAGACCCGAAACCCGGUGAUCUAGCCAUGGGCAGGUUGAAGGUUGGGUAACACUAACUGGAGGACCGAACCGACUAAUGUUGAAAAAUUAGCGGAUGACCUGUGGCUGGGGGUGAAAGGCCAAUCAAACCGGGAGAUAGCUGGUUCUCCCCGAAAGCUAUUUAGGUAGCGCCUCGUGAAUUCAUCUCCGGGGGUAGAGCACUGUUUCGGCUAGGGGGCCAUCCCGGCUUACCAACCCGAUGCAAACUGCGAAUACCGGAGAAUGUUAUCACGGGAGACACACGGCGGGUGCUAACGUCCGUCGUGAAGAGGGAAACAACCCAGACCGCCAGCUAAGGUCCCAAAGUCAUGGUUAAGUGGGAAACGAUGUGGGAAGGCCCAGACAGCCAGGAUGUUGGCUUAGAAGCAGCCAUCAUUUAAAGAAAGCGUAAUAGCUCACUGGUCGAGUCGGCCUGCGCGGAAGAUGUAACGGGGCUAAACCAUGCACCGAAGCUGCGGCAGCGACACUAUGUGUUGUUGGGUAGGGGAGCGUUCUGUAAGCCUGUGAAGGUGUGUCGUGAGGC